AUUGAACGCUGGCGGCAGGCCUAACACAUGCAAGUCGAACGGUAACAGGAAGCAGCUUGCUGCUUUGCUGACGAGUGGCGGACGGGUGAGUAAUGUCUGGGAAACUGCCCGAUGGAGGGGGAUAACUACUGGAAACGGUAGCUAAUACCGCAUAACGUCGCAAGACCAAAGAGGGGGACCUUAGGGCCUCUUGCCAUCGGAUGUGCCCAGAUGGGAUUAGCUAGUAGGUGGGGUAACGGCUCACCUAGGCGACGAUCCCUAGCUGGUCUGAGAGGAUGACCAGCCACACUGGAACUGAGACACGGUCCAGACUCCUACGGGAGGCAGCAGUGGGGAAUAUUGCACAAUGGGCGCAAGCCUGAUGCAGCCAUGCCGCGUGUAUGAAGAAGGCCUUCGGGUUGUAAAGUACUUUCAGCGGGGAGGAAGGGAGUAAAGUUAAUACCUUUGCUCAUUGACGUUACCCGCAGAAGAAGCACCGGCUAACUCCAUG
This 490-nucleotide ribosomal RNA is filed under the name uncultured bacterium. RNAcentral's name for it is "partial 16S ribosomal RNA". It matches the Rfam family "Bacterial small subunit ribosomal RNA", at positions 30 to 507 of the family's 1533-position model. The record is from RNAcentral.